GGGGGGGGGGGGGGGCGGGCCGGGGGGGUGCGGGGCGAGCGAGGGGGCGGGGAGCUUGCGCCUCUGCCGGUCGCGGCGGGCGGGUGAGUAACACGUGGAGCCCCUCCCUGUGCUCCUGGGAUCACUUCGGGAAACCGGCGCUGCUCCCGGCUCAUCUCUUGAACCGCAUUGUUCACUAGUGACAGACGGUUUUCCGGUCACUUCUCGCUGGACCCGCGCCGCAUUAGCUAGUUGGUCAGUUAACGGCUUACCAAGGCAACGAUGCGUAGCCGACCUGAGAGGGUGAUCGGCCACACUGGAACUGAGACACGGUCCAGACUCCUACGGGAGGCAGCAGUAGGGAAUCUUCCGCAAUGGGCGAAAGCCUGACGGAGCAACGCCGCGUGAGUGAUGAAGGUCUUCGGAUCGUAAAACUCUGUUAUUAGGGAAGAACAAAUGUGUAAGUAACUAUGCACGUCUUGACGGUACCUAAUCAGAAAGCCACGGCUAACUACGUG
Molecule: ribosomal RNA, 497 nt
Filed under: uncultured bacterium
Lineage: Bacteria
Description: partial 16S ribosomal RNA
Rfam family: Bacterial small subunit ribosomal RNA
Source: RNAcentral